Lathyrus oleraceus (garden pea) is the source of this 511-nucleotide long non-coding RNA. RefSeq lists it as uncharacterized. The transcript is spliced from 2 exons. Lineage: Eukaryota; Viridiplantae; Streptophyta; Magnoliopsida; Fabales; Fabaceae. The record is from RefSeq and is a predicted model, not a curated record.
GCUCCGGUUCAUAACCCGACCCAUAUAAUAAGUUAAUUAGGGCUCCGCGUUUUACGAAACGCAGCACUAUAAAUACCCAAACGAGGGUUUUCAUUUCUCAGAUUCAUUCAUAUUCUGCUGCUGAAAAUCGCCAUCGUUCAAAGGAGCUUCAAAGAGUAACGUUCAUCACCAAACAUGAGAGCGAAGUGGAAGAAGAAGCGCAUGAGGAGGUUGAAGAGGAAGCGCCGAAAGAUGAGACAGAGAUCUAAGUAGGUGCAUCAGAUGGAGACCUUUCCAUCCUGCUUAAUACCUGCUUUGGGUCAUCUUAUCCCGAUCUGGUUUAAUGAUCUUGAAGUUUGGUUGGCAGGAAGAUUCUCUAUAGAUAUAGAUAAAACUUAGCUGUAUUGUUCUAAGUCAAUUUAUUUUGAGUGUUUUGUGGUACUAAUGCGAGUACUGGUUUUGUUUGGUAUAAUGACUGAUAUGUUUAUUUAUGUUCUUAUGGCUGAUAUUAGCGCAUAAUUUGAUCUUUUUA